This 399-nucleotide ribosomal RNA is filed under the name uncultured bacterium. Its description in RNAcentral is "bacterial SSU rRNA". It matches the Rfam family "Bacterial small subunit ribosomal RNA", at positions 359 to 775 of the family's 1533-position model. The record is from RNAcentral.
GAAUAUUGCACAAUGGGGGAAACCCUGAUGCAGCGACGCCGCGUGAGUGAAGAAGUGCUUCGGCAUGUAAAGCUCUAUCAGCAGGGAAGAAGAUGACGGUACCUGACUAAGAAGCACCGGCUAACUACGUGACAGCAGCCGCGGUAAUACGUAGGGGGCAAGCGUUAUCCGGAUUUACUGGGUGUAAAGGGAGCGUAGGUGGUGCGGCAAGUCAGAUGUGAAAACCCGGGGCUCAACCCCGGGACUGCAUUUGAAACUGUCGUGCUAGAGUGCAGGAGAGGUAAGUGGAAUUCCUAGUGUAGCGGUGAAAUGCGUAGAUAUUAGGAGGAACACCAGUGGCGAAGGCGGCUUACUGGACUGUAACUGACACUGAGGCUCGAAAGCGUGGGGAGCAAACAG